This 556-nucleotide unclassified non-coding RNA is filed under the name Fusarium proliferatum. RNAcentral's name for it is "sequence contains 18S rRNA gene, ITS1, 5.8S rRNA gene, ITS2, 28S rRNA gene". The stretch from base 190 to 343 matches the Rfam family "5.8S ribosomal RNA". Lineage: Eukaryota; Fungi; Ascomycota; Sordariomycetes; Hypocreales; Nectriaceae. The record is from RNAcentral.
GUAACAAGGUCUCCGUUGGUGAACCAGCGGAGGGAUCAUUACCGAGUUUACAACUCCCAAACCCCUGUGAACAUACCAAUUGUUGCCUCGGCGGAUCAGCCCGCUCCCGGUAAAACGGGACGGCCCGCCAGAGGACCCCUAAACUCUGUUUCUAUAUGUAACUUCUGAGUAAAACCAUAAAUAAAUCAAAACUUUCAACAACGGAUCUCUUGGUUCUGGCAUCGAUGAAGAACGCAGCAAAAUGCGAUAAGUAAUGUGAAUUGCAGAAUUCAGUGAAUCAUCGAAUCUUUGAACGCACAUUGCGCCCGCCAGUAUUCUGGCGGGCAUGCCUGUUCGAGCGUCAUUUCAACCCUCAAGCCCCCGGGUUUGGUGUUGGGGAUCGGCGAGCCCUUGCGGCAAGCCGGCCCCGAAAUCUAGUGGCGGUCUCGCUGCAGCUUCCAUUGCGUAGUAGUAAAACCCUCGCAACUGGUACGCGGCGCGGCCAAGCCGUUAAACCCCCAACUUCUGAAUGUUGACCUCGGAUCAGGUAGGAAUACCCGCUGAACCUAAGCAUAUC